This 497-nucleotide ribosomal RNA is filed under the name uncultured bacterium. RNAcentral's name for it is "partial 16S ribosomal RNA". It matches the Rfam family "Bacterial small subunit ribosomal RNA", at positions 28 to 507 of the family's 1533-position model. The record is from RNAcentral.
GAUGAACGCUGGCGGCGUGCCUAAUACAUGCAAGUCGAGCGAACAGAUGAGGAGCUUGCUCCUCUGACGUUAGCGGCGGACGGGUGAGUAACACGUGGAUAACCUACCUAUAAGACUGGGAUAACUUCGGGAAACCGGAGCUAAUACCGGAUAAUAUAUUGAACCGCAUGGUUCAAUAGUGAAAGACGGUUUUGCUGUCACUUAUAGAUGGAUCCGCGCCGCAUUAGCUAGUUGGUAAGGUAACGGCUUACCAAGGCAACGAUGCGUAGCCGACCUGAGAGGGUGAUCGGCCACACUGGAACUGAGACACGGUCCAGACUCCUAAGGGAGGAAGCAGUAGGGAAUCUUACGCAAUGGGCGAAAGCCUGACGGAGCAACGCCGCGUGAGUGAUGAAGGUCUUCGGAUCGUAAAGCUCUGUUAUUAGGGAAGAACAAAUGUGUAAGUAACUAUGCACGUCUUGACGGUACCUAAUCAGAAAGCCACGGCUAACUACGUG